UAAGGGCACCACAAGAACGCGUGGAGCAUGUGGCUUAAUUUGACUCAACGCGGGAAAUCUUACCGGGUCCGGACACACUGAGGAUUGACAGGUGUUUGUGGUUAGUCCCUUGUGGACUUUCCACUAUAAAUAUGCUAGUCCUUUCAUGAUUGUGUGAUAGGUGGUGCAUGGCCGUUCUUAGUUCGUGGAGUGAUCUGUCUGCUUAAUUGCGUUUCACAAAGGAUUUUUCAUUUUCGUCUGUUGCACGGCAUUUCUUCUUUUGGAGUUAUGUCUGUUGCACGGCGGAGAAACAAUCCUGAAGGCAACGAACGUGACCGCAACCUCUUGUUGCCUCCUUUUUUUUAAAACAUGGGAGUAUCUUUUGCCUCUUUAUAUACCUUCGGGUGUUAUAGUUGCAUAGUGCUUCCUGCAUGGAGUUUUUGCAAACUAGAGGGACCGCUGACAACUUUUAAAACAGAGGAAGGUUGCGGCAAUAACAGGUCUGUGAUGCCCUUAGAUGUUCCGGGCUGCACACGUGCUACAAUGAUUAUUGCAGUGAGCAUCUAAUUUACAAGACUUUGUAGUUUCUGUUUAGUGCUCUGCACUUUACAGAACUCAGUCAUCAACCUGCUUCGAAAGUAAGCAGGUAAUCAAUUCGAAGUAAUGAUUUCCUUUUCGCACAUACUUAUAUUACUUGUUUGUAACCGUGCUUUCAGCUUGUCUGUCAGUAUUGUUUGUUACCUUGUGAUAUGUGCUCCAUUAAUUCAUGGUGGGGACAGACCAUUGUUAAUUGUUGGUCUCGGUCUCAACUAGGAAUGCCUUGUACGGGUCUUUGGCUCAACAAACCACCCGGAAUAUGUCCCUGCCCUUUGUACACACCGCCCGUCA
RNAcentral lists this ribosomal RNA (867 nucleotides) under Foraminifera environmental sample. RNAcentral's name for it is "SSU rRNA". It matches the Rfam family "Eukaryotic small subunit ribosomal RNA", at positions 1159 to 1678 of the family's 1831-position model. Lineage: Eukaryota; Foraminifera. The record is from RNAcentral.